CAGGACACUAUUUUACCCACACUGUGUGGACACCAAGAACAAAACCUGGUCCUCUUUAGAAGAUAAGCUGCCAAAGGGCUGGUACUAUGCUGCCAAACCUCCUCUAAUAACAUCCAAGCCACGGUGGCGAGCCAAACAGAAAAGAGAACCAAAGGAAGGUUUGUGCCAGCAGGCGGGAAACACCUGCUGUGCUUUCUGGAUGACCUUAUCAUACUGACACCUGACCACUUUGGCUCCCAGCCACUGCUGGACAACAGCAAUUGGUGUAGCCACCAGACUACCACAGUCGCUUAUGUUUGUCAAGGAGUCCCAGAUCAGGUAGAUCUACAGUACCGUCAAC
Molecule: long non-coding RNA, 340 nt
Organism: Dicentrarchus labrax (European seabass)
Lineage: Eukaryota; Metazoa; Chordata; Actinopteri; Moronidae
Exons: 3
Source: RefSeq, a predicted model, not a curated record